AGUGAACGCUGGCGGUAGGCCUAACACAUGCAAGUCGAACGGCAGCACAGUAAGAGCUUGCUCUUACGGGUGGCGAGUGGCGGACGGGUGAGGAAUACAUCGGAAUCUACUUUUUCGUGGGGGAUAACGUAGGGAAACUUACGCUAAUACCGCAUACGACCUACGGGUGAAAGCAGGGGAUCUUCGGACCUUGCGCGAUUGAAUGAGCCGAUGUCGGAUUAGCUAGUUGGCGGGGUAAAGGCCCACCAUGGCGACGAUCCGUAGCUGGUCUGAGGGGAUGAUCAGCCACACUGGAACUGAGACACGGUCCAGACUCCUACGGGAGGCAGCAGUGGGGAAUAUUGGACAAUGGGCGCAAGCCUGAUCCAGCCAUACCGCGUGGGUGAAGAAGGCCUUCGGGUUGUAAAGCCCUUUUGUUGGGAAAGAAAAGCAGCAGGUUAAUACCCCGCUGUUCUGACGGUACCCAAAGAAUAAGCACCGGCUAACUUCGUG
This 492-nucleotide ribosomal RNA is filed under the name uncultured bacterium. RNAcentral describes it as "partial 16S ribosomal RNA". It matches the Rfam family "Bacterial small subunit ribosomal RNA", at positions 29 to 507 of the family's 1533-position model. The record is from RNAcentral.